Molecule: long non-coding RNA, 281 nt
Filed under: Mytilus galloprovincialis (Mediterranean mussel)
Lineage: Eukaryota; Metazoa; Mollusca; Bivalvia; Mytilida; Mytilidae
Source: RNAcentral
UGCGUAUUGUUAUGCGUUUACUUUUCUACAUUGGCUAGAGGUAUAGGGGGAGGGUUGAGAUCUCAUAAACAUGUUUAACCCCGCCGCAAUUUUGCGCCUGUCCCAAGUCAUGAGCCUCUGGCCUUUGUUCGUCUUGUAUGAUUUCUAAUUUUAGUUUCUUGUGUAUAAUUCGGAGUUUAGUAUGACGUCCAUUAUCACUGUACUAGUAUACAUAUUUUUAGGGGCCAGCUGAAGAACACCUACGGGUGAGGGAAUUCUCGCUACAUUGAAGACCCAUUGGU